RNAcentral lists this ribosomal RNA (454 nucleotides) under uncultured Allobrachymonas sp. RNAcentral describes it as "bacterial SSU rRNA". It matches the Rfam family "Bacterial small subunit ribosomal RNA", at positions 923 to 1382 of the family's 1533-position model. The record is from RNAcentral. Lineage: Bacteria; Pseudomonadati; Pseudomonadota; Betaproteobacteria; Burkholderiales; Comamonadaceae.
GCACAAGCGGUGGAUGAUGUGGUUUAAUUCGAUGCAACGCGAAAACCUUACCCACCUUUGACAUGGCAGGAAUCCUAAAGAGAUUUGGGAGUGCUCGAAAGAGAACCUGCACACAGGUGCUGCAUGGCUGUCGUCAGCUCGUGUCGUGAGAUGUUGGGUUAAGUCCCGCAACGAGCGCAACCCUCGCCAUUAGUUGCUACGAAAGGGCACUCUAAUGGGACUGCCGGUGACAAACCGGAGGAAGGUGGGGAUGACGUCAAGUCCUCAUGGCCCUUAUAGGUGGGGCUACACACGUCAUACAAUGGCCGGUACAGAGGGUAGCCAACCCGCGAGGGGGAGCCAAUCCCACAAAGCCGGUCGUAGUCCGGAUCGCAGUCUGCAACUCGACUGCGUGAAGUCGGAAUCGCUAGUAAUCGCGGAUCAGCAUGUCGCGGUGAAUACGUUCCCGGGUCUU